Molecule: unclassified non-coding RNA, 673 nt
Filed under: Hevea brasiliensis (rubber tree)
Lineage: Eukaryota; Viridiplantae; Streptophyta; Magnoliopsida; Malpighiales; Euphorbiaceae
Source: RNAcentral
GAAACUGGUUUGCUGCUGUUCCUAAUGGACAUUGCAUAUCUCAUCCUUGUCUUAGAGUUCGUUUCAUGAGGGGAGAGGGGGAGACGUGUCUUUGUGACUACUCUGAUGAUGCUGUCACUGUCGACCCUUAUUCUUCUUUGGAUGCUGUUCAAGAAUUUUUGUUGCCUAAAGUUAGAAUAGUAAGAACCAAAGAAAGUGAAACACUUUCCAUUGGGGCCUGAGAAGCUGUUAAAAUUUCAAAUUACAUCAAACGUGAACCCAGGACAAGGUGAAAGUUCAGGUCCCAUGGAUCCUGACAGCAUGUCUAGUGAUUUGAUUGAGAUGCAGGAAGAUGAGGCUAACCUAUUGCAGACACCACUGGAACAAGCAGAAAAUUUACGACAGAUAAAUCCUGGCACGAUUACAUCUUCAAAUGAUUCUCGUAUUGCCUCCAUAGAGAAGUUAGUACAAUAUCCUUCUGGGGCAGACAUCAGUAGAAAAAGUCAGUGUCCUCCAUCCCCUAGCAAUGAAGAUGCUUCAUCAAAACUGGCAUUUUACCUAGAAGGACAAGAGUUGGAUCGGAAUUUGACAUUGUAUCAGGCAAUUCUUCAACAGAAAAUUAAAGCAGAUCAUGAAAUUAAUAUGGGGGCAAGGCUAUGGAGUCAAGUAUACACACUGACUUAUAGAAUGGCUG